UAUAAGGUGCCUGAUUAAAGGAUAAUUUUGAUAGAAUUAAUAAUGUGAACUCUCACCCUUAUAA
This 64-nucleotide transfer RNA is filed under the name Chaetocnema pelagica. RNAcentral's name for it is "tRNA-Ile". The record is from RNAcentral. Lineage: Eukaryota; Metazoa; Arthropoda; Insecta; Coleoptera; Chrysomelidae.